Molecule: ribosomal RNA, 433 nt
Filed under: uncultured bacterium
Lineage: Bacteria
Description: partial 16S ribosomal RNA
Rfam family: Bacterial small subunit ribosomal RNA
Source: RNAcentral
AACGAACGCUGGCGGCAUGCCUAACACGUGCAAGUCGAACGAGACCUUCGGGUCUAGUGGCGCACGGGUGCGUAACGCGUGGGAACCUGCCCUUAGGUUCGGAAUAACUCCCCGAAAGGGGUGCUAAUACCGGAUAAUGUCUUCGGACCAAAGAUUUAUCGCCUUUGGAUGGGCCCGCGUUGGAUUAGCUAGUUGGUAGGGUAAAAGCCUACCAAGGCGACGAUCCAUAGCUGGUCUGAGAGGAUGAUCAGCCACACUGGGGCUGAGACACGGCCCAGACUCCUACGGGAGGCAGCAGUGGGGAAUAUUGGACAAUGGGCGAAAGCCUGAUCCAGCAAUGCCGCGUGAGUGAUGAAGGCCUUAGGGUUGUAAAGCUCUUUUACCCGGGAUGAUAAUGACAGUACCGGGAGAAUAAGCUCCGGCUAACUCCGUG